RNAcentral lists this non-coding RNA (29 nucleotides) under Rattus norvegicus (Norway rat). Lineage: Eukaryota; Metazoa; Chordata; Mammalia; Rodentia; Muridae. The record is from RNAcentral.
UUCAAGGUCUGGAUAUCUCCUUUGGUGAU